UGUCAUAGACCCAGCAGGCAAUCCAAGAAACAGUAUAAAAAGGGCUCAAAACUCAGAUCACCUCAGACACCUGCUCUUCUCUUCACCUUGCUGACUUGAGUUCACCUCGCAGCCCGAAGGAUGUCGUUCUCCAGCCUGCAGCUCAGCUCCCGCUGCCUCCCCCCCUGCGCGGUGACCUGCCCGCAGCCAUGGGUCAACGCCUGCAACGAGCCCUGCGUCACCUCCUGCGGGGACUCCCGCGCCGUGGUCUACCCGCCGCCCGUGGUCAUCACCUUCCCGGGCCCCAUCCUCAGCUCCUGCCCCCAGGAGAGCUACGUGGGCACCUCGGAACCCCUGGGGCUCGGCAGCGCUGGGGGCCUUGGCGGCUCCCUGCUCUCUGGGGGCUCCUUCCCGGGCUCCUGGGGCCAGCGCUGGAGCUCCCGCUACGGGCGCUGCAGGCCCUGCUAAGCAGCACAGGAGAUGAUCUUGUUCAUAAUAAAAAUUACGCUGCAUCAGA
Dromaius novaehollandiae (emu) is the source of this 496-nucleotide long non-coding RNA. RefSeq lists it as uncharacterized. The record is from RefSeq and is a predicted model, not a curated record. Lineage: Eukaryota; Metazoa; Chordata; Aves; Casuariiformes; Dromaiidae. The transcript is spliced from 2 exons.